ACGGCUGACCAGCAAUUUGGAAGAUGUAUAGUUUUAACAGUUGUAUUUUAAAUGCAAUAUCGGUAAUACGAAUAAAGUUCAAGGUAUAUUAUUGAUAAUGACAAUUUUCUAUCUAUAAGUCUUGACCAAAUCACGUGCCAGCAGUCGCGGUAAGACGUGAAAGACUAGUGUUAUUCAUCUUUAAUAGGUUUAAAGGGUACCUAGACGGUAUUUCUAGCCCAUAAUUAUAAAGGGUACGGAUUUACUAGAGUUUUAUAUGAGUAGGUAGUAUUCUGGGUGUAGAGAUGAAAUUCUAUAAUACCUUGAGGACUGGUAAAGGCGAAAGCAACCUACUAUGUGAUAACUGACGUUGAGGGACGAAGGCCUGGGGAGCAAUAAGGAUUCGAUACCCUAGUAGUCCAGGCAGAAAAUUCUGAAUGCCAUAGAAUAAAUAGUAUUUAUUCUAUAAAUGAAAAUGUAAGCAUUCCACCUCAAGAGUAAUGCGGCAACGCAGGAACUGAAAUCAUUAGACCGUAUCUGAAACCAGUAGUGAAGUAUGUUAUUUAAUUCGAUGAUCCGCGAAAAACCUUACCACAACUUGAAUAUUUACAAGCGUUGCACGGCUGUCUUCAGUUAAUGUCGUGAGAUUUUGGUUAGCUCCAUUUAAUUAACGUAAACCCUUGCUUUAUUUAUUAAUUUUUUUAUAAAGUAGCUCAUCAGUACAGAGAAUUUGAUAACAGGGAUUAAGACAAGUCAUCAUGGCCUUAAUGUUGUGGGCUAUAGACGUGCCACAUAUGCCCAUACAAAAGGAUGCAAUAAUGCGAAUUG
Molecule: ribosomal RNA, 807 nt
Filed under: Steinia geophana
Lineage: Eukaryota; Fungi; Ascomycota; Lecanoromycetes; Lecideales; Lecideaceae
Description: SSU rRNA
Rfam family: Bacterial small subunit ribosomal RNA
Source: RNAcentral